Molecule: ribosomal RNA, 574 nt
Filed under: uncultured bacterium
Lineage: Bacteria
Description: bacterial SSU rRNA
Rfam family: Bacterial small subunit ribosomal RNA
Source: RNAcentral
AUGCAAGUCGAGCGGUAACAGACAUUUUGAUUUUGCUUGCAAAAUCUCGUGCUGACGAGCGGCGAACGGGUGAGUAACGCGUAGGAAUCUACCUAGUAGAAGGGGAUAGCCCGAGGAAACUCGGAUUAAUACCGUAUACGUCCUUAGGGAGAAAGAGGGCUUAGCUUUGAUGCUCUCGCUAUUAGAUGAGCCUGCGUAAGAUUGGCUUGUUGGUGAGGUAAAGGCUUACCAAGGCAACGAUCUUUAGCUGGUCUGAGAGGACGAUCAGCCACAUUGGGACUGAGACACGGCCCAGACUCCUACGGGAGGCAGCAGUGGGGAAUAUUGGACAAUGGGCGCAAGCCUGAUCCAGCCAUACCGCGUGUGUGAAGAAGGCCUUCGGGUUGUAAAGCACUUUAAGUAAGGAAGAAAAGAGUAUUGUUAAUACCAAUACUCCGUGACAUUACUUACAGAAUAAGGACCGGCUAAUUCCGUGCCAGCAGCCGCGGUAAUACGGAAGGUCCAAGCGUUAAUCGGAAUUACUGGGCGUAAAGCGCGCGUAGGUGGUUUAUUAAGUUGGGUGUGAAAGCCCCGG